RNAcentral lists this ribosomal RNA (468 nucleotides) under uncultured bacterium. Its description in RNAcentral is "partial 16S ribosomal RNA". It matches the Rfam family "Bacterial small subunit ribosomal RNA", at positions 28 to 507 of the family's 1533-position model. The record is from RNAcentral.
GACGAACGCUGGCGGCGUGCCUAACACAUGCAAGUCGAACGGAAAGGCCAUGCUCUUGCGGGGCGCUUGUGUGGCGCACGGGUGUGUAACACGUGAGUAUCCUGCCCUUGACUUUGGGAUAACUUCACGAAACUCGGGCUAUUAUCGGAUAGGAGCUCCUGCUGCAUGUUGGGCGUUGGACAGUUUCGGCGGUUGUGGAUGGACUGGAAGGUUAUCAGCUUGUUGGUGAGGUAGUGAUAUACCAAGGCUACGACGGAUAGCCCACCUGGGCGGGGAACCGGCGACAAUGAUACUGAGAGACGGACCAGACGCGUACGGGAGGCAGCAGGGGAGAAUAUGGCACAAUAGGCGGAAGCCUGAUGCAGCGGCGCCACGUGCGGAAAAACGUCCUACGAGUGGAGAACCGAUUUCUCCUGUGACGAAGCGUGAGUGACGGUAAUUAGUAAAAAAGCACCGGCUAACUACGUG